This 492-nucleotide ribosomal RNA is filed under the name Triticum aestivum (bread wheat). Its description in RNAcentral is "partial small subunit ribosomal RNA". Lineage: Eukaryota; Viridiplantae; Streptophyta; Magnoliopsida; Poales; Poaceae. The record is from RNAcentral.
AUGACAAUUUUUCUCUAUGCACAUCAUAAAACAUUGUCCUUGAUGAGGUCUUUUACAAAAAAGAGAGACAUUGUUAGACCGGGAGUGACGAGAUUUGCUUCCGCAUUUCUUACCUUGCAAAGUAUUAUUGCUAAGAAGACAGAACUAAGGGCAAUGGUUUGUAGUGAUGAACGGGAGGCAUGUAAGCACACAAGAACAAAGAAAGGAAAAUCAGCUCAUGCCACAAUAAUGAGUAGGGGUUUUUGGAAAGGUGUCUCUCUUUGCAUCAGGGUUUUUGAACCAUUGGUGCAGGUGCUUCGGUUGGCUGAUGGUGAUGGUCCAUCAAUGGCCACUAUGUAUGGAGAAAUAGUAAGUGCAAAGAAGGAUAUCAUGCUUGCUGUUGAAAAUUCAGAAAAGGACUAUUUGGUGAUCACUAAUGCCAUGGAUGGCAAGAUGAGAGGGAGUCUGGAUUCUCCAUUACACAUGGCAGCAUAUAUGUUGAAUCCCAAAUAA